Molecule: ribosomal RNA, 253 nt
Filed under: uncultured bacterium
Lineage: Bacteria
Description: partial 16S ribosomal RNA
Rfam family: Bacterial small subunit ribosomal RNA
Source: RNAcentral
UACGAAGGGGGCGAGCGUUGUUCGGAUUUACUGGGCGUAAAGGGCGCGCAGGCGGCAGACCAAGUCAGGCGUGAAAGCCCCGGGCUUAACCUGGGAGGUGCGUCUGGGACUGGUAUGCUAGAGUUCGGGAGAGGAGAGUGGAAUUCCCAGUGUAGAGGUGAAAUUCGUAGAUAUUCGGAGGAACACCAGUGGCGAAGGCGGCUCACUGGCUCGAUACUGACGCUGAGGUGCGAAAGCGUGGGGAGCAAACAGG